RNAcentral lists this ribosomal RNA (477 nucleotides) under uncultured anaerobic ammonium-oxidizing bacterium. RNAcentral's name for it is "bacterial SSU rRNA". It matches the Rfam family "Bacterial small subunit ribosomal RNA", at positions 365 to 832 of the family's 1533-position model. The record is from RNAcentral.
UUCGCAAUGCCCGAAAGGGUGACGAAGCGACGCCGCGUGUAGGAAGAAGGCCUUCGGGUUGUAAACCACUGUCGGGAGUUAAGAAAUGCAAGGGUGCUAAUAGUAUCCUUGCUUGACUAAGGCUCCGGAGGAAGCCACGGCUAACUCUGUGCCAGCAGCCGCGGUAAUACAGAGGCGGCAAGCGUUGUUCGGAAUUAUUGGGCGUAAAGAGCACGUAGGCGGCUAUGUAAGUCGGUUGUGAAAGCCUUCCGCUCAACGGAAGAACAGCAUCCGAUACUGCAUGGCUUGAGUGCGGGAGGGGAGAGUGGAACUUCUGGUGGAGAGGUGGAAUGCGUAGAUAUCAGAAGGAACGCCGGCGGCGAAAGCGGCUCUCUGGCCCAUAACUGACGCUGAGUGUGCGAAAGCUAGGGGAGCAAACGGGAUUAGAUACCCCGGUAGUCCUAGCCGUAAACGAUGGGCACUAAGUAGAGGGGUUUU